GAAAUGCGAUAAGUAGUGUGAAUUGCAGAAUUCAGUGAAUCAUCGAAUCUUUGAACGCACAUUGCGCCCCUUGGUAUUCCAUGGGGCAUGCCUGUUCGAGCGUCAUUUGUACCCUCAAGCUCUGCUUGGUGUUGGGUGUUUGUCCCCGUCUCCGCGCGUGGACUCGCCCCAAAGUGAUUGGCAGCCGGCGUACUGGUCCCGGAGCGCAGCACAUGUCGCGCAAACGAGUGCCUUGGUACGGCGGCGUCCAUAAGCCCCUCUCUCACGCUCUUGACCUCGGAUCAGGUAAGGAUACCCGCUGAACUUAAGC
RNAcentral lists this unclassified non-coding RNA (310 nucleotides) under plant metagenome. Its description in RNAcentral is "partial contains 5.8S ribosomal RNA, internal transcribed spacer 2, and large subunit ribosomal RNA". The stretch from base 1 to 105 matches the Rfam family "5.8S ribosomal RNA", at positions 50 to 154 of the family's 154-position model. The record is from RNAcentral.